This 511-nucleotide ribosomal RNA is filed under the name uncultured bacterium. Its description in RNAcentral is "bacterial SSU rRNA". It matches the Rfam family "Bacterial small subunit ribosomal RNA", at positions 29 to 523 of the family's 1533-position model. The record is from RNAcentral.
AGCGAACGCUGGCGGCGUGCCUAACACAUGCAAGUCGAACGUGAAAUGGGGCAACCCAAAGUAAAGUGGCGCACGGGUGAGUAACGCGUAGGUAAUCUACCUGAUUGUUCGGAAUAACCUGCCGAAAGGCGGGCUAAUACUGGAUAGAGCGAGGAACUCGUAAGGAGUUUUUCGGGAAAGGGGGCUCUUCAAAGAGCUCUCGCAGUCGGAUGAGCCUGCGUCUCAUUAGCUAGUUGGUGGGGUAAUGGCCCACCAAGGCUGUGAUGAGUAGCUGGUCUAAGAGGAUGAUCAGCCACACUGGAACUGAAACACGGUCCAGACUCCUACGGGAGGCAGCAGUGGGGGAAUCGUGCGCAAUGGACGAAAGUCUGAACCAGCCAUGCCGCGUGCAGGAAGAAGGCCUUCUGGGUUGUAAACUGCUUUUGCCAGGGGGAUAAAAUUUCCAUGCGUGGAAAACUGAAGGUACCUGGUGAAUAAGCCACGGCUAACUACGUGCCAGCAGCCGCGGUAA